ACUCCUACGGGAGGCAGCAGUGGGGAAUAUUGCACAAUGGGGGAAACCCUGAUGCAGCCAUGCCGCGUGUGUGAAGAAGGCCUUCGGGUUGUAAAGCACUUUCAGUAGGGAGGAAGGUAGUGUAGUUAACACCUGCAUUAUUUGACGUUACCUACAGAAGAAGCACCGGCUAACUCCGUGCCAGCAGCCGCGGUAAUACGGAGGGUGCGAGCGUUAAUCGGAAUUACUGGGCGUAAAGCGCAUGCAGGCGGCCUGUUAAGUCAGAUGUGAAAGCCCGGGGGCUUAACCUCGGAAUUGCAUUUGAAACUGGCAGGCUAGAGUCUUGUAGAGGGGGGUAGAAUUUCAGGUGUAGCGGUGAAAUGCGUAGAGAUCUGAAGGAAUACCAGUGGCGAAGGCGGCCCCCUGGACAAAGACUGACGCUCAGAUGCGAAAAGCGUGGGGGAGCAAAACAGGAUUAGAUACCCUGGUAGCACAGAG
RNAcentral lists this ribosomal RNA (477 nucleotides) under uncultured bacterium. RNAcentral describes it as "bacterial SSU rRNA". It matches the Rfam family "Bacterial small subunit ribosomal RNA", at positions 335 to 799 of the family's 1533-position model. The record is from RNAcentral.